This 11566-nucleotide long non-coding RNA is filed under the name Sorghum bicolor (sorghum). RNAcentral's name for it is "long non-coding RNA (SBIC_LNC000031)". Lineage: Eukaryota; Viridiplantae; Streptophyta; Magnoliopsida; Poales; Poaceae. The record is from RNAcentral.
AUAUCCAUGUAUCUGCUCGCCAAUCAUUCGAGGGCACUCCGCCAGCAUGCUCGUCAUCGUGUGCUCGUUCGGCUGCAACCCCUGCCUCAUCAUCUGACAGAGCACCUCCACAGCCCGUGCGAGGUCGCCGUUCCUGCAGAGCGCCGAGACAAGCGAAGUGUACCCCACGACAUCCGGCGCCUCCAUCCUGCGAAACACCUCCUCAGCCGCCCACAUGGAGCCGCACCUCGAGUAGAGCUCGAUGAGGCAACUCCCGAUCCAGGCGUCGGCGGCGAAGCCCGCCCGCACGGCGAGCGAGUGCACCUGCUCGCCGAGGCUGAGCGCGCCGGCGCCCGCGGCCGCGCACGCCGCCAGCGCCGCGUUGCACGCGAAGUCGUUGGCCGCGACGCCGGACUCCAGCAUGUCCGCGAACAUGGCCGCGGCCGCCUCGGGCUGCCCGUUCCGCGUGCACCCGGAGAUGGCCGUGGUCCACGCGACGACGUUCUUGCGAGGCAUACGGUCGAACAGGUCCAGCGCGUCACUUAGCCUCCCGGACUUCAUCAGCGCGUCCAACCGUUUGCAGUCGAGGACGACGUCAGGCGGCGGCGGCGCACCGAGGCGUACAUUGGCCGCCGCCGUGGGCGGGCGGGCAAUGACAUGGCUCGUUGGCGCGGGGAGUAGACGAAGCGUGGGCUGCUUCGCGUGGAGCGCGACCAUUUCCCGCGGUAGCCGCACAGCAGGACUGUGGGAGGCCGGGAAAGGAUAAGCUGUGUGUGUGAUGGCAGCGUGGCGCCUUGUCGCUGGGCUCCAUUCUAUUAUUCCUCCAGUCCAUCCAGUUCCAGGACCUCAAUCUCCGCGACCUCCUCCGCGCCGACGGCCCCGUGUCGUCCACAUCCUCAGCGCCCUCAUCCACUUUCUCUUCUUCAGGCAAGAGAAGCUCACCUUGCUAGAGCCUAUCGUCGAAGAGUACGGCGCGAUUGAGAAACGGCAGGGGGAGCUCAGGGCUAAGAUCGCCGAGGUCUCUUUCCCAUCCUCCUCCUUUACAUUUUUCUGCCUUCUGUCCGGGGAAAUACUUAGAUUUUCUCUCCUCUUUGUGCGUUUUCUUUUCUGCGUUUUUUUCCCUUCCAUUUUCCACCUUAUACAGCUUAGCAAGGCGAAAGAGGACCAUCUGCUUAAGGAGCAGGUGGAGGCACACAUGGUCCAGCAGCUCGAGAAUGAGGUCAAUGCCCUCAAGCAGAGGCUUCAUGAUUAUAACAGAGAGCAGCUGUCACUGCGCAAUGCAUCAAAAGCCUUGGACGAAAAGAGAGAGGAUACACUGAGGAAGGUGCUGAUUCCUGUCUUGCCUUGCAUUUUUUUUCUUCCUUUUGAUUAGGAUGGUACUUGGAGCUUUUCCUUGGUAUGUUUUUAUUCUUGUUUUCUGUGUGAUCAACAGAGCUUUGCAAUGUGGGCUUUUGUUUAGAUAUGUCUACUUUGAACCUCCUGCAUAUUUUGGCUGCUGUCAAUAAUAUUGGCACUACUACCAUGCUGCCUUAAGCUACAACACCAAGUAGAUUUCUUGUUUGGUGUAUUGCUGAUACCUUCUGUCAAUAAAUUGUUGUCCAUGAAAACUAAGAGGUAUGUAUAAUCUGGUUGUUGCUCAAGUUUCCACCAUGUUAUGCUACCAGCAUAUUAAAAGAGCAUGUUUCCCAUGCAUGUAUCAAGCAUGUUAUAUUUGAGAAUGUGCCUACAGCGUGGAUACUAUUGGAAUUUGGAGGUAGUAUGAGCUAACAUUGAAAUUAAUUGAAGAGUCAUAUGCUCAAGAAUUUUGUUCAAUGCCAACAAGAUAACAAAUUGUAUUGAAGUCAGUAGGUUUUGUUUGCCUAUAUUCUGUUCCAGGCUUCUUGGUUGAAGCUAGCACAAGUAGUUUUGGAUUACAUGGAGUUUGGAUGAUGCCGUAGGUGAUAGUGAGCUGCCUUUUGGUAGGUUCAUUGGUUCAGUCAGUUGGAAUUUAGAAAUAUUUCAUCUGAUUCACGUCAACAGAUAAUGUAACUUGCCACUGGUUUUCAUUAUACAUACGUUGAAAAUCUCAUUAGACUUAAAACUGGAGAAGCUGGAGUUGUUAGGCCAGACAUGAGACACCCCUCUUACUCUGUUUUUUUUUACUCCGAGGAGCCAAAGCUCCAUAGGCUGCCACCUUCUGUAUGUUAUAGGUGCUCCAGGUCAAAUCAGUCUUUACAUGUUUAAGAAAGAGAUCUUUUAGCAUAACUGGAAGACAUUUAGUUAUUUAAUCAGCCACUGAAUGCUGACAUUUUUUUUCUUCCUAACUAAUAAUUUGUAUUUAUUAGCAUCAGCUUUGCUUUGUAUAUAUGGACAUUGACCAGCAGAACUGCUCUUAUUAAGUUAAACUGGAUUUUUUUUACUCUAUUCAAAGCAGUACUUCAUAAUAUUACAUUCACUGCUUGUUUUUGUUUCUGGCAGAUCAACCAGGCUGAUUUUGAGUUGGUGAAAGUUAUGCAAGAAAAGAAAAAGCUAUCAGCCAAAAUUGUUCAUUCCCCUGAAAAGCUCCAGGUAGGCUGUAUGUUUGUUUUAAACUGCUACAGGCAUAAAGUUCAUCAGGAAUUGAAUGGGUUGGAAUGCCUAAGCUAAAAAGGCUGAAAACCAUUCAUACAAGCAACUCUAUAGGUGGUUCUAGAAUUACUUUCCAUGGUAGAACAGCAAGCCAUAGUUUUCCUAACUGUCUUACUCGAUGCAACUAGGACUAGCAAGUAUGGUGUCAUCCUUUUAACUGUCGGAAUGACUUUAUCUCUUCACAGUUCAGCAUAUAACUAUGAAUGAAUUAUUCACUCAACAUAUUAUUGCAAUUGUUUUUUUUUUUGAAAGUAAAGGCAGGAGCUCUGCCGCUCAAUUAAGAAGGAAAAGUGGUUUAUGUACAAAAGCACCCAAAGUGCCAAACAGGCAAAAACACCGGUCAUAAGACCAAACACAAACAGGUACCACUCACACGUUUGUUUUACCCCACAAUACACAUGGCCCUACGCCUUUGAACAAUAUCUUCCUUGACCAAUGCUGCAACUUGUGCUGACGUUUUGUGCUCAUUUUCAAAGAUCCUCCUGUUCCUUUCCUUCCACAGGUUCCACACAACAUAGAUAAACACUCCAUUAAAUGUUCUGCAUUGUUGCUUUGGCACCUUGGUCGCCGCCUCCUCCCACCAAUCGGCGAGGCACAUGAGAUCUUGUUGGGGCAGCUGCACAUCAAAGUUUUCCCAGGUUAACACCUGGCUCCAGACGGCUCUAGCAAAGGGGCAUAGCAGAGAUAGAUGCAGCCCUGUCUCCAGAGGUCCAUUACACAAAAUGCAAUGGUCUUGAUGUGGCCACCCUCUCUUUUGAAGGUUGUCAGCUGUGAGGAUUUUGCCAUGCAUUAGUAUCCAGGCAUGCACUUUGCAUUUAUUUUCUGCCCUUGCUCUCCAAAUAAGAUCAGCCUGGAACUUGCAAUGCGAACCUCGAAACUGUAUCCUGUAAGCUGAACGUGUGGAGUAGUUACCGUCAGCUGUCCAUCUCCAAACUAUGGAAUCUUGCACAUCGGGCAUUAGCUGCACAUCCUGGAGCCUGAUCCAAAGGGCAACAAAUUCCUGUAUCUGUACAGAUGUUGUAAUUCGUGCCCUGAGGGAUCGGAUCCAGUUACCAUUUUGUAGCUCUUGGCGAACCGUCCUGUUCUUACAACGCACUACCUCGAAAAGGUGGGGUGCUAGGAAUCUUGGAGCUUCACCCUCUAGCCAAUUAUGGUGCCAGAAACGUGCCUUGUCACCAUUUCCAAUUGUUAUCGUGGUUGAGGCAUUGAAGAGCAGUCGGUCUCUGUCAUUACACAGCAGUUCCGUCCCUACCCAAGGUUUUGAGUCCUGAACCCACUCCUGCCACAACCAACGUAGCCGCAAGGCUGUUCCAAAUCUUUCCAAAUCCGGCACCCCCAAACCUCCCAAAUCCUUUGGCAUGCACACUGUUGGCCAAUUUACCAGGCAAUGUCCUCCAUUAGCGUUCUCCUCCCCUUUCCAAAGAAAAGAUCUUCUGAGUUUGUCAAUUUUCUUUCUUGCCCAUACUGCCAGUGGGAAUACUGUGAGGUGAUAGGUAGGCAUUGAAGAUAGCACCGAGGUGACCAAAGUAAGUCUACCCGCUCUAUUGAGCAAUCUACCUUUCCAUCCAGGUAGCCUUUGCCCAAUGCGUUCAAUGAGAGGUUGCACAUGGACCUUCUGUAGGGAUCUCGUGUGGAGCUGCAAUCCUAAGUAGCGGCAUGGGAAGGAUUCUCUUGUCCCUGCAAAUGAGGCUAACACAUGGUCUAAAUCGAUGUUCUGACAUUGGAUUGGGUGUACCGAGCUCUUCUGUAGGUUUAUGUGUAAGCCUGAUACAUUGCCAAAUUCCUGGAGGAUCAUGGUGAUGGAGUCCAAGUCAUCCUUGAUCCGGUUAGUGAAUAUAGCCGCAUCAUCAGCAUACAUGGAGGUUCUCCACCUGGUCGUAGGUAGAGGAAGAGCACUAAGAACGCCUUGUUGUGUUGCCAUGUCUAGCAGGCGUUGGAGAGGGUCCAUAGCGAGUAUGAACAGCAUGGGGGAUAAAGGGUCACCCUGCCGAACCCCUCUCCUGUGGCUAAAAGCUGGACCCUGCUGUCCAUUUAGCAGUGCUCUCGAUGAUGUCGUGCGGAAAAGGAUAGAAACCCACUCCCGCCAGCGUGGUCCGAAACCUAAGGCCUGCAGUACCUCAAGGAGGUAGCUCCAACUGACCGUGUCAAAAGCCUUGUGUAUGUCAAGUUUGAGGAACAACAUUGGCAGCUUCAUCUUUUGCAUUGUCCGGACUAUGUUCUGAACAUAUAGAAAGUUGUCGUGGAUGUUCCUCCUUUUAAUGAAGGCGCUUUGGCAUUUUGAAACUAAGGAAUCAAGCAGCGGCGCCAACCUAUUUGCCAGUAGUUUGGCGAAAAUCUUUGCUACGCUGUGAAUGAGGCUGAUCGGGCGGAAGUCUGCAACUCUCAAAGCAUCCAUUUUCUUUGGAAGCAGGAUGAUGUUUGCUGAAUUUAGGAACUCAAAACCUUGGGAGUUUAGACUAUACAGACUGUUCACAGCGGCAGUGACAUCCUCUUUGAUAAUAUCCCAACAAGCUUUGAAGAAGGCGCCUGUGAAGCCAUCUGGACCCGGUGCCUUGUCCGACGGCAUGGAGUUUAUUGUAUCUUUGAUUUCAUCUUGUGUGAACGGGGCCUCGAGUGCCGACAGAUCCCUUGGGACAUAUCCAAGCGCCGACCAGCUGAACGUCGUCGACCUCGGUUCAUGGGAGCCUAGGUGUCCCGAAAAAUAGUCCGCAAUGAUUUUUUCUUUAUCAUUGUGUGUAGUCGCCACCCUCCCAUCAGUGUGCAGGCUAUGGAUAUAAUUCUUCCUCAUUCUCGUGUUAGCCCGAAUGUGGAAAAAUUUUGCGUUUGCAUCUCCACUGCGGAUGUAUGUGAGCCUUGCCCGCUGUCUAAUUCUUGAUUUUUCAAUGGCCGCUAAUCCAGUGCUUCUGAUUUUUAGCCGACGGCGUAGGUGGAGCUCCUGCUGCGUGAGUGUUCUGACUUCCUGCGCUGCCUCGAGCUGUAGCAGAACCUCUUUGACAAUGGCUAGCUGCAGCCGAGUAUCCCCAAUCUUCUCCUUCCGCCACCUCUUGAGGCCUUUUGCCACUCGCACUAAUUUUAUAUGCAGCCGUUUGAAGGGUAGCACAGAGUGGACAGGUUUGCACCAGACUUGCUCCACCACGUCCCUGAAAUCAUCCACCUUGACCCAGAAAUUUUCGAAGCGGAAGGUGUUAUUGUGGCAGUGCUCAAGCUCUCCUUGCAGAAGUAGAGGGGUGUGAUCAGACAUGAGUGAAGGCAAGGAGUGGAGGAAGCACUAGGUGCUCUAUCUAAGAUUGCGUUCUUUUUAAAAAAAUGUCCAUUUUCCCCAGAAUCGUUAGUUCUUGCUUCUUUUUAUGUGUUAUGAGUGUAUUUUCUUUAUGUGCUUACAUUGUCAAAUUGCUUCGAUCAGAAUUAUGAGCUUCAAUCAGAUAAUCAUCAUCUUGUGCUAGCUUCCAUAAUAACUAUGGAUUUUAUUUUCUAUAUCAAAGAGGAACCUUGAGGAGAAGAAAUCAGUCCGUGAUGAGUUAAAGAACUUAGAGAAGAUAGCAAUGCAGAAAGUCCAAGAGAAAACCAAUACUCUUGAGAUGUAUACUAAGGUACUCUUUAUGAUGCAAUAAAUUUAUUGUAAACAAUACAGAUCAUGUGCUAACAAACAGUGUUUUGUUGCUGCUAAUCUUGAGUUCCCAUUUAGUUCUCCCCACAGCCUCGUAUCAUUCUUUUCUUACUACAGCUGAUAGGCAAUUGCUCAAAUGAUCAAAUCGCAAGAAUCAUUUGACUUUCUAUUUGGUGGGGGGGUGGGGGGGGGGGGGGGGCUUCUUGUGAGGCUGGACUUUAUUCCUGUAUACUCCAUUGAUGUAGUUGCAUGAUAAGCAUCUUUAUUUUGCAGGUUUCUGAGAAACUAGCGAAGCAUCUCUCUAAAAUAUCUGCUGUACAUGAAAAGGUAUGAAUAGCGUCAAGCUUUCCUUCGCGCAUGAUUUUUUUCCCUUUGGCUGAUUGCAGCCUUGAGUCAAAUUGGUAUAACAAUGACUGUACAAAUAUAUUAUCCAUGCUAGAGCGCUGCUGCUAAAGCUUUUGAGAAGGAUGUUAAAGCACACAAAGAGAAGAUCAGUGAUCAAAAUCUGGAGAUAAAGGCACUUCGCAAUAAAGCUGCUGAAUGGGAAAUGAAAGGUUAGUAUAUUUUUAGCAUUGCUCAAGUAUUAUCAAGUCAGUUCUUAGUUCAAAUGUUAUCAUCCCAUCACUGUGCAUGAACAUCUUGCAAUUAGUACUCGAGAACGAGGCCAAAGUGAAAGCAAAGGAGAAAGAAAGGGAUCAAAGAGUUGGAGAGCACAAUCGGAAGAUGACUGCAUUGAAAUCUGAAGUUGAAUCGGAGCAGAAGUGCCUUGAGGAGAAAGAAAGAAAAAUAAAGGAAACAAUUGACAAGGUGAUGUUCUUAUCCUGGAUGUUCUGCUGUUGAAAAGAAUUCUUUCAAAAUUGCACUCCAUGAGUUGUCACAUCCUGUUUAUUGCUUUACAUGUUACCUUUGAAUUUGAUUGAUACCUUUGAGCCUGAUUAGUAGCUGUGGCUCUAUAAAUCUAGAAGGGAAAACAUAGGCUAUGCAUUCAGCACUUCAUUUAAAGCCUUGUAGGCUGUUUUCAUCAUUUUUCUUUAUUGUUUGUACCUCUUUCACAUUUUCUGACAUACUGUGUGCCAAUCAGGGUUCUGAAUUAUGCUCUCAAGCUGAUUCGGUUGCUGAAGCUGGAAGGAAGAAAAUAGAGGAAAUCUAUGGGAAGUAUGAUCAAGUUUGUGAGGCGGUACGUCCUAGCUAGAAGCCUAUUUGAUUUCCUAAAAGCACACUAGCCCAUAAAGAACAUUGGUUUCCUUGAGGUUGUUUGCUGAUAACAGCUUUUUCUCCAGGCUAACAUGUACAUUGAUGGUUCGGAUCAGUCCUUCGAAGAGACUGAUGAAGCUGCAGCGAUGCUGAAAACUAUAGCCCAGAGUGGCGCUUGAUGUGGUGAAGUGACCAUCUGGCAAAGGAUCGUGGACAAUUAUCAUCAUAGUAAUAAUUGUGCUAGUGUCCGGCUUUGUAUAUAUACCUUCAUUGGAUCAUGUCGUGUGGUCACUUUUGCAUCUCGUUCAUGUUGUUGCUCUGAUCGGGUGUGGUCAGUGUAUGUGCUUUUAGCACCUCUAUUUUAAUUUAAUUAUCAGUACUUCCUAGUAUUAGUGUAAGCAAUGGAGCAUUGGGCGUGGUCUUACAACUUUCCUACUAGCCUCUUGGUCUCAGUUUUGUUGACUCAGAAUAUAUAGAAAAAAAAUAACUUAAAAAUCUGGAACUCAUUAUAAAAAACAUACAAUUUGAAACCAAAACAACUUAUAAUUUGAUAGAAGUUAGUGUAGACUUACAAUUUGGAUUGAAGUUUGUAUAUAUAAGCAAGGUUGCAUUUGCAACUGAGAUAUCCAUGAAACUGUGUAUAAAUCACAACAGACUACAAAAAAUAUGUAGUUUUUGUUCUCAAGGCAUCACGCGCAUUCAAUUUAAACUCGGCAGAUGAGUUUAUGGCAGGAAAAAUGGCCAUGAACUGUUAACGACACGAGCAUUUCAAGAAAAAGAAAAACAAAGAGAUUUGGAACGUUCAGUGUUCAAGCGCCCACGACAGGUAAAAAAGAAAAGAAAAAAGAGAGAGGCCUUCCUGGGUUGAAUUUGUUUUGUGGCCCAUGUGAAAGCGGCCCGUUGUGCUCCGGCCUGCUAGCUGCAAUUGAUUCAUGGCUGAAACAAACUUGUACAAUUCAUAGUUUCAUUUUUGUGUGUGUUAUAUUUGAAUUUUAUUCUAUGACACAUUCAGACUUGGAAACAGUGUUCAUGGGGUUUCAUCUCACCGAUGAAACUCACAUUUCAUCUCUCUUGUUUAAUUCUUUGCAUGUCAUCAAAUUUCUUUGGUUGGCACCAACUUCCAUUGAGAGUGGCCUUCCACAGAAUGACAGAAAGGGCUCUUUAUUUAUUCAGUGGGAGCAACAAUACACUGUUUUGUAAUACAUAUAUCCAAAGCAUGAUGACGAACAAUAUUAUCAAUUAUUACACACAAGACAGAGCUGGAGUCUUCCAUGUUAUAAAUAUAUGACCACAGAUUUUUAUCUCAGUAGCGCCGAAUUCAUACGAAUUGUUUCAUGUUAUGGCUAGUCUCUGUCUCACUCUCUCUCUCCUGCAGAAUUCAGGCUCGUUGGAUUGGGUUUGCCAUCCUUUUCCACCUUGCCAUUUUUUCCAUCCCCUAACAAUAUGUAUAUAUAUAAGGGAAAAAACAAACAAUUUCAGUAAAGAUACUGCAUUAUCUUGGUAAUGCUAGGUUCCGGUUGGACAAUCGAAUUAGUACGCACCUUUUUCGUGAUUGGACUGCCACCUCCUUGUCUUGGAUGCUGUUCAUGACAAAACCCAAGGGAUUGAGCACCUCCUCGUAGCUGCAUGCAUCACACACACAACACAAAGGCCUCAAGGAGGGUUCCUUUCCCAUUUAAUGAUGUGACACAUCAAAAAAUUUGCUAAGUUAUCAGAUUAAUUAUGAAGAGAAAGAUAGGUAGAGUUUUAUAAAGUUUCAUCUAAAUAAAACUCGUUGUCAUAGUUACCAACACAAAAGCUGCAUAAAACUCCCUAUUGUCAGAGACUGGCUUAUAUACUACUGUUUGCAGCCAUAAAAUACUACAGAAGUAUAAGUACAUACCAGAUAAGCAUCUUACUCGUUUACUGCUGCGUUGAAUGGUGGCCCUGUGAUUCCUGUCCUUCAACCUGCCAUGCAUGCACGUUUAUAUAUCAUGUUUGAUCAGUGGUUAUAUGUACUUUAUUAUUACCAGGUUACAUGAGGGUAAUAAGCUCCCCAUCUGGUCUGAGCAGGUCGACAAUUCUCUUUGGCCCAUGCUGGCCUCAUUGACGGCUCGAAAGCGCAGAAGAAUCUGACGAACGAAACAAUGCAAACCUGGUACGCACAAUCAUAUCAUGCAUAACGAAUACAAUUUGAUGAAUGCAGAAGCACAACACGGCCGGGCGGUGUACAAAAGCGCAUUCAGAGAUGUCGAGGCCGACGACGAAGCAGCAACGGCUGAGAUAUCGAUCGAUGCAUGUCAUGUGUGAGAUGGUGAUCGAGGUCAGCAUGCAUGGUGACCACGUGCUCGUACACCGUCGGGUUCGAAACGUUGGCCACCGCCGGCGAUAGUCGUGGAUGCCGCCACGCCACGCCAUCAUCAGCUAUAACUACGUACGGCGCCACUGCUCAACAAGACUACAAAAACAUUUCUUUAGGGAGGUAAAGGUUAACAGUUCUACUUUGGCAUACACUAUGUGCCACUAUGACAUGUAAAGUCUGCAAGUGAUAUGUUCCUCUUUGGCAUCUAAAUCUGCAUAUGAACAUCUAACUCUGUAUCUUGCAUCACAACAACGAGCUCUGCAAGCAUAUGAUAGAUGGAUGCCGAGUCUGAAUGAGACGUGUCUCUUGCAACAAAGGUGCUGACCUCGUUCUUGACCUCGAUCCAGCUCCAACCGGCAUCCUUCUUCACCCCAAUUUCAUCCAUCCUCCGACGCACCCUCUCCGCAUCCUGCCAUUCUUCAUGCAUCGCAUAGAGGUUUGACAUCAGCACGUAGCUCGCGGAGUCUCUUUCUGAAAGCUCCAUCAGCUUGUCUGUUGCGAGUUUUCCAAUGUCAAGAUUCUUGUGCAGCUUGCAAGAUGCUAAUAGUGUCUUCCAAAUCAAAACAUCAGGCUCGAAUGGCAUAUUCUCGAUCAUGUGUAGCGCCUCAUCGAAUCUGCCAUUCCGACCCAGCAUGUCGAUCAUGCAAGCAUAGUGAGAAGGGGUCGGUGUGAGACCAUACCGAUCAGUCAUUAGUCUGAAGAAUGUCUCCCCUUCCUUCACCAGACCUGCAUGAUUGCACCCUACCAAGACUGCUAUAAAUGUCGAAUCGUCUGGCUGCCAACCACUUGAACACAUCUCACUGAAUGCCUCCAGUACCAAGUUUGCAGCUCCAUGCUGUGCGAGACCAUGGAUCAGUGAGUUCCAAGACAUGACAUCAUGAAGAUUCAUGACAUCAAAUGCAAGCCUUGCAGAUCCAAUUUGACCACACUUGGAGUACAUGUUGAUUAGUGCAUUCCCAGUACAAACUUUGAAGUCACACCCCAGUUUCAGUGCCAGGCAAUGAAGCUGCCUUCCUUGAUCCAACAAUGCCAGGUCUGCACAAGAACUCAGACCACUAGAGAAGGCAUAGUCAUUCGGUGUAAAACCUUCCGAAUGCAUCUGAAGAAGCAAUGCCACGGCCUUCUCACUGAAACCAUUCUGGAAGUUCGCAGAAAUGGCAGCUGUCCAGCUAACAAGAUCAGGAUUUUCAAUCUUGCCAAGCACAGCAUCGAUUUCUGAAACAAAACCACUCCUACCAUACAUAGAGAGCAAAGCAUUUGAUACUCGGAUGUCAGUCAUUAAGUUGCACUUGAUGACUGAGCAGUGAAUUUGACGCCCCAGACAAACAAACCCACAAGCCCCGAGAGCAAUUGAAAAUGCAAACUCAUUUGGCUCAACGGCCUCCGAAAUCAUCUCGCUGAACACUCGCAGUGCAUCUUCCAACCUUCCAUCCCUAAUGCACAGCUGCAUCAUGGAGCACCACGACACCACGUUCUUGGAGUCAAGAUUUUCAAACACUGUUUCCGCCAUGUCAAAGUCACCGUGCCUCGAAUAGAAGUCAAUCAGUGCAGUCGAUGCAUAGACGCUCUGUGAACCCAUUACCUUGAGCAUAUAUCCAUGUAUCUGCUCGCCAAUCAUUCGAGGGCACUCCGCCAGCAUGCUCGUCAUCGUGUGCUCGUUCGGCUACAACCCUAGCCUCAUCAUCUGACAGAGCAUCUCCACAGCCCGUGCGAGGUCUCCGUUCCUGCAGAGCGCCGAGACGAGCGAAGUGUACCCCACGACAUCCGGCGCCUCCAUCCUGCGAAACACCUCCUCAGCCGCCCGCAGGGAGCCGCACCUCGAGUAGAGCUCGAUGAGG